GAUUGUGGCUCAGGGGUAGAGCACUCGCCUAGCAUGUGUGAAGGCCUGGGUUCAAUCCUUAGCACCA
RNAcentral lists this transfer RNA (67 nucleotides) under Marmota monax (woodchuck). Its description in RNAcentral is "tRNA.Ala". It matches the Rfam family "tRNA", at positions 6 to 65 of the family's 71-position model. Rfam says of the family: Transfer RNA (tRNA) molecules are approximately 80 nucleotides in length. Their secondary structure includes four short double-helical elements and three loops (D, anti-codon, and T loops). Lineage: Eukaryota; Metazoa; Chordata; Mammalia; Rodentia; Sciuridae. The record is from RNAcentral.